RNAcentral lists this long non-coding RNA (794 nucleotides) under Bos taurus (domestic cattle). Its description in RNAcentral is "long non-coding RNA NONBTAT011261". Lineage: Eukaryota; Metazoa; Chordata; Mammalia; Artiodactyla; Bovidae. The record is from RNAcentral.
GGGUGCCAUUGUGAUAUGACGUUUAUUCAGCAAUGAAACAAAAGAAUCUUAAAAAGUUUGAAAGACACACAAUUUUAAGACAACAAAAUUCAAAUGUAACAAAUUGCACAAAUUAACCAAAUAACACUGAUCAUACAAUACUCUUUAAAGAAACAAGUGUGUACUAAAGUAUCCAUAGAUCCUAAAAUAUUUGUUAUGCCUAGUUUACAAGCUCCUGUACAAAAGCAAUUAUAAAUAGUUCACAUCUAGAAAAAAUACACAGUAACCUUUAAAAUAGAAUUUAUCCUUACAUAUAAACAGACUUUGUAGAAAAAAAGGAUAUUAAAAGUAAGAAUUUUUCAUAGCACCAAUCAUCUUAUGUUUUACAAAGUGAACAUUGCAAAUAGGAAUCAGCUUUUAUUUAUAGAUUGAUCAGAUUUUAAUCAAAAGAGCAGGAAGAUAAAAAUCAACAAAUAAUGUUGAGAAUCACAGAGAACCACUAAGUAGAAGGAGGUGUAAGGAAAUGAUUGGAGGGAAAAUAGAACUACAUUGUUUCUGAUACAUAUCACUUCUGAUCAGUGUCGCACUUGAGUUCCUUUACAGUUUUCAAUAGAAGCAGGAUAACACUUCUUACUAGAAUCUGAAUCUGUCAACAACUUGGAAUUUGCACUAGAAUUAAAGUUUCUAUCAAACUGAGAUUAUGAGAGGGAGAUGACAAGAGCCCUCUGUUUUUCUGGCAGGCCCUGUUUUCAUUUUACAGAGUGUACCCACAAUCUGAGGACUAGGACAGUGACCUGAACAAAAAGUUGAUUUGG